Oryza sativa Indica Group (long-grained rice) is the source of this 205-nucleotide microRNA precursor. It matches the Rfam family "MIR812 microRNA precursor family". The record is from Rfam. Lineage: Eukaryota; Viridiplantae; Streptophyta; Magnoliopsida; Poales; Poaceae.
AAUAUUUGACGCUGUUGACUUUCUAUCACAUGUUUGACCGUUCAUCUUAUUCAAAAAAUUUAAGUAAUUAUUAAUUCUUUUCCUAUCAUUUGAUUCAUUGUUAAAUAUAUUUUUAUGUAGGCAUAUAAUUUUACAUAUCUCACAAAAGUUUUUGAAUAAGACGAACGGUCAAACAUGUGCUAAAAAGUCAACGGUGUCAAACAUU